RNAcentral lists this long non-coding RNA (233 nucleotides) under Monodelphis domestica (gray short-tailed opossum). RNAcentral describes it as "lncRNA (ENSMODG00000039589.1)". The record is from RNAcentral. Lineage: Eukaryota; Metazoa; Chordata; Mammalia; Didelphimorphia; Didelphidae.
AUUUUAUGGAUGAAGAAAUUGAGGAUUAGAGGUUAAAUGCUUCAUGCAUGUUUCACCUAGCCAGUAUGUGUCAGAGGUGGUCCUUGAAUGCAGAUAUCCCUGACUUUGAGAUCAACUUACUAUCCACUAUGCCAUGUUGACUCUCUUGCCUUGGACAAAAAAAUAAAUUCCUGAAUCAUGGCUGCAAUCUAGACGCCACACGCUUCCUCUCCCCAGCACUGAAAGAAAUAGAC